CUGGAAACUGGAAGCAUAUUGCUAUAGAGUUGUACCAAGACUUCUAUAUCACAUGAUAAUUUGUUGUUUGGGGCUGCAAGAGAAGAAGUACGAGCUCAAUGGGAGCUUAAUUUGCUGAAAAAGAAUACUUUGGAUAAUUUGCUCAAUAACCUUGGUGCAAACUCCUAGCUUGAGAAGUGUAAGUUUGCAACAUAUCAUUAGUUGUAUCCCAUUCUUCCUCCGCCAGUACCCUCAUCUAAUCACAUGCUCUUCUCUUUCUUAUUUCAGUAUUUCCCACCUCUAUAAUGUAAACUAAGUUUAUCAUUUAUCUUCAUGCCCUCAUUUUAUGGUGUUUAUCCAUUCUAUUUUUCAUACAUGUAUGUAUCUAUGUACUUGUUAGAUUUAGUUUAUCAGUGAACUCGUAAACUAAUCGUUAUAGAGUUGUUUAAGUAUGAUUAUAGAAUUAUUGAAUCGGAGUUGUAAGUAUAUAUAUGUCACUGUAUUAAAUAUUUAAAAAGAGAAUUUCAUAGGAUUAAGACUGAUAAUAGAACAACAAUAUAUAAAUAUCCUAAUAAUGUAAAUAACAGAGCAGCAAUUUUAUAGAUGAUUAAUGACGUGCUGGAAUGUUAAGAUUGGGUAUUACUGAAGAAGAUCUUUUAGUUGUUCUAUAAGCAUUGCGACAUCCCUAGUCCCUUUUAAUUCAUUUUAUUUAUUGCUAAAAUAAAAGAGCAGCAUAUAUCAGUUAAGUUUAUAUCAUAAUCAAUUGAGUAUAAGUAGGUUUAGAGUGAAAAACAAUGAAACUCUUUUGUACUGUUAAUUUGAUCGGAGAAGAGCAAAAGUUGAAAUCAGAGAAAUGAAUGAGUUUGAGAUGGUUUUCAUUUUGUAAUUCUCAUCUGCACAUGGACAUUUUUCAUAGAAUUGGACUAUUUGACGCAGGAUUUUGUAUACUUCGAUUAGAUCCUUACAAUAUUUAACAGGAUCUGAAUUUCUCAACGUAUUUAUGCUAUAAGUUAAUGGGAAUCAUCAGAUAAAUGGUCAAUGUUUCAGACUCAGGAGGCAUCAAAUGGAUUUUUCUCAUAACAAUGACAGCAAAUUUGGUUUAUGCAUCCACCAAUGAGGUAUUAAUAUAUUUAAAUAUUUAUUGAUGUUUUUUAUUUUAUAAUUGUAAACAUACAAAUUCAUUAACUUAAACUUAUUUAUUUCAGACAUCACAUUAUGGAAGUGGUGCUCCAUCACCUAAUCAAGUAAUGGGAUCAAGUGUUGGAAGCAAAAUUGAUUAGGGAUGUGUGUUUUAAUUUUAAACUUGAUUAGGGAUGUAUGAACUUUUGAACAAUUAUGUGUUGUAACUUUAAAUUUGAUUACGAAUGUAUGAACUUUUUAUGCGUUUUAAUUUUCAAUUACAUAUAAACUUUUGAACAU
This 1398-nucleotide long non-coding RNA is filed under the name Phaseolus vulgaris (common bean). RNAcentral describes it as "long non-coding RNA (PVUL_LNC003958)". The record is from RNAcentral. Lineage: Eukaryota; Viridiplantae; Streptophyta; Magnoliopsida; Fabales; Fabaceae.